RNAcentral lists this transfer RNA (76 nucleotides) under Candidatus Shapirobacteria bacterium. RNAcentral's name for it is "tRNA-His". It matches the Rfam family "tRNA". From Rfam's summary of the family: Transfer RNA (tRNA) molecules are approximately 80 nucleotides in length. Their secondary structure includes four short double-helical elements and three loops (D, anti-codon, and T loops). Further hydrogen bonds mediate the characteristic L-shaped molecular structure. tRNAs have two regions of fundamental functional importance: the anti-codon, which is responsible for specific mRNA codon recognition, and the 3' end, to which the tRNAs corresponding amino acid is attached (by aminoacyl-tRNA synthetases). tRNAs cope with the degeneracy of the genetic code in two manners: having more than one tRNA (with a specific anti-codon) for a particular amino acid; and 'wobble' base-pairing, i.e. permitting non-standard base-pairing at the 3rd anti-codon position. The record is from RNAcentral. Lineage: Bacteria; Candidatus Shapironibacteriota.
GUGGUAUUAGCUCAAUUGGUUAGAGCAUUCGCCUGUGAAGCGAAAGGUUGCCAGUUCGAAUCUGGUAUACCACCCA